Molecule: small nuclear RNA, 170 nt
Filed under: Oryctolagus cuniculus (rabbit)
Lineage: Eukaryota; Metazoa; Chordata; Mammalia; Lagomorpha; Leporidae
Description: U1 spliceosomal RNA (ENSOCUG00000038128.1)
Rfam family: U1 spliceosomal RNA
About the family: U1 is a small nuclear RNA (snRNA) component of the spliceosome (involved in pre-mRNA splicing). Its 5' end forms complementary base pairs with the 5' splice junction, thus defining the 5' donor site of an intron.
Source: RNAcentral
GUACUUACUGGGCAGGGCAAUCCCAGGAUCAGGAAGGUGGCUUUCCCAGGGCGAGGCUCAGCCGUUGCCCCCGCCCCCCCCCCCCCCCCCCCCCGAUGUGCUGACCUCUGCGAGUUCCCCAAGUGCAGGAAACACUGCAUAAUUGGUGGUGGGGGGGGGACUCUCUCCUA